GAUGAACGCUGGCGGCGUGCCUAAUACAUGCCAGUCGAGCGAACGGACGAGAAGCUUGCUUCUCUGAUGUUAGCGGCGGACGGGUGAGUAACACGUGGAUAACCUACCUAUAAGACUGGGAUAACUUCGGGAAACCGGAGCUAAUCCCGGAUGAUCUUUUGAACCGCAUUGUUCAAAAGUGAAAGACGGUCUUGCUGUCACUUAUAGAUGGAUCCGCGCUGCAUUAGCUAGUUGGUAAGGUAACGGCUUACCAAGGCAACGAUGCAUAGCCGACCUGAGGGGGGGAUCGGCCACACUGGAACUGAGACACGGUCCAGACUCCUACGGGAGGCAGCAGUAGGGAAUCUUCCGCAAUGGGCGAAAGCCUGACGGAGCAACGCCGCGUGAGUGAUGAAGGUCUUCGGAGCGUAAAACUCUGUUAUUAGGGAAGAACAGAUGUGUAAGUAACUGUGCACAGCUUGACGGUACCUAAUCAGAAAGCCACGGCUAACUACGUG
Molecule: ribosomal RNA, 497 nt
Filed under: uncultured bacterium
Lineage: Bacteria
Description: partial 16S ribosomal RNA
Rfam family: Bacterial small subunit ribosomal RNA
Source: RNAcentral